This 29-nucleotide non-coding RNA is filed under the name Mus musculus (house mouse). The record is from RNAcentral. Lineage: Eukaryota; Metazoa; Chordata; Mammalia; Rodentia; Muridae.
UAAAUAAAAGCAGACUGCAUUUUCUAGGC